GCACACACCCCCUACCUCCCUGCCUACAUUCCACCCAGCCUGACUGCUCUGGAAGGAAGAAUCCCUGCAAGGUGAGUGUUAUUAUAUCCAUUUGUGGACCAGGACUGCGGCUCAGAAGCUUUUCCCAGGACACUGAACUCUGACAGGUGAAUAGCUGCCAAGUGGUGGAGGUUGGCCUGCAGUGAGCAUCAGUCUGACUUCGAAGGACAGAAUGACACAUGGUACAAGCUUUCUGUCUUACUGCCACACGUCAGUGUCCUGGGAGAUGAACCAGAUGCAGCUCCCUGAUGAAUGUGGGAAUAAAAAUUUAU
This is a long non-coding RNA of Homo sapiens (human), 311 nucleotides long. The record is from Ensembl. NCBI's taxonomy places the organism in Eukaryota, Metazoa, Chordata, Mammalia, Primates, Hominidae.